Molecule: ribosomal RNA, 438 nt
Filed under: uncultured bacterium
Lineage: Bacteria
Description: bacterial SSU rRNA
Rfam family: Bacterial small subunit ribosomal RNA
Source: RNAcentral
AAAACACUUCGGUGUGAGUAGAGCGGCGGACGGGUGAGUAAUUCUUGGGAAUCUUUUCUGUAGUGGGGGAUAACGUGUGGAAACGCACGCUAAUAGCGCAUACGUCCUACGGGAGAAAGCAGGGGAUCUUCGGACCUUACGCUAUUGGAUGAGCCCAAGUCAGAUUAGCUAGUUGGUGAGGUAAUGGCUCACCAAGGCGACGAUCUGUAGCUGGUCUGAGAGGAUGAUCAGCCACACUGGGACUGAGACACGGCCCAGACUCCUACGGGAGGCAGCAGUGGGGAAUAUUGCACAAUGGGCGAAAGCCUGAUGCAGCCAUGCCGCGUGUGUGAAGAAGGCUCUAGGGUUGUAAAGCACUUUCAGUGGGGAGGAAAAGUUUAAGAUUAAUACUCUUGAACCUUGACGUUACCUGCAGAAGAAGCACCGGCAAACUCCGUG